RNAcentral lists this transfer RNA (73 nucleotides) under Camelus dromedarius (Arabian camel). It matches the Rfam family "tRNA". From Rfam's summary of the family: Transfer RNA (tRNA) molecules are approximately 80 nucleotides in length. Their secondary structure includes four short double-helical elements and three loops (D, anti-codon, and T loops). Further hydrogen bonds mediate the characteristic L-shaped molecular structure. tRNAs have two regions of fundamental functional importance: the anti-codon, which is responsible for specific mRNA codon recognition, and the 3' end, to which the tRNAs corresponding amino acid is attached (by aminoacyl-tRNA synthetases). tRNAs cope with the degeneracy of the genetic code in two manners: having more than one tRNA (with a specific anti-codon) for a particular amino acid; and 'wobble' base-pairing, i.e. permitting non-standard base-pairing at the 3rd anti-codon position. Lineage: Eukaryota; Metazoa; Chordata; Mammalia; Artiodactyla; Camelidae. RNAcentral also lists the same sequence under 1 other name. The record is from Rfam by way of RNAcentral.
GAGGGUAUGGUUCAAGUGGUAGAGUGCGUGCUUAGCAUGCACGAGGUCCUGGGUUCAAUCCUCAGUACCUCCU